AUUGAACGCUGGCGGCAGGCCUAACACAUGCAAGUCGAACGAGUGGCGGACGGGUGAGUCAUGUCUGGGCAACUGCCUGAUGGAGGGGGAUAACUACUGGAAACGGUAUCUAAUACCGCAUACCAUCAGAUGUGCCCAGAUGGGUUUAGCUAGUUGGUGGGGUAACGGCUAACCAAGGCGACGCUCCCUAGCUGGUCUGAGAGGAUGACCAGCAACACUGGAACGGAGACACGGGCCAUACUCCUACGGGAGGCAGCAUGGGGGAAUAUUGCACAAUGGGGGCAAGCCUGAUGCAGAAAUGCCGGGUGUAUGAAGAAGGCCUUCGGGUUGUAAAGUACUUUCAGCGGGGAGGCGUUACCCGCAGAAGAAGCACCGGCUAACUCCGUGCCAGCAGCCGCGGUAAUAC
RNAcentral lists this ribosomal RNA (406 nucleotides) under uncultured bacterium. Its description in RNAcentral is "partial 16S ribosomal RNA". It matches the Rfam family "Bacterial small subunit ribosomal RNA", at positions 30 to 526 of the family's 1533-position model. The record is from RNAcentral.